Molecule: ribosomal RNA, 726 nt
Filed under: Dinophysis tripos
Lineage: Eukaryota; Dinophyceae; Dinophysales; Dinophysaceae
Description: partial 24S large subunit ribosomal RNA
Rfam family: Eukaryotic large subunit ribosomal RNA
Source: RNAcentral
GCUGAAUUUAAGCAUAUAAGUAAGCGGAGGACAAGAAACUAAACAGGAUCCCCAUAGUAAUGGCGAAUGAACCGGGAUAAACUCAGCAUGGAAAUUGGGGCCUUUGGCUUUGACUUGUAAUCUGGUGAGGCAUUGCCAACAGAGGCGCAUAUGUAAGUCUCUUGGAAAAGAGCAUCAACGAAGGUGAGAGUCCUGAUUGUCAUGUGCAGCCCCCCUGUGCACGGUGUGCCUUCUAAGAGUCACGUUCCUUGGGAUUGGAGCGCAAAUUGGGUGGUAACUUUCAUCUGAAGUUAAACAAUGGUUUGGGACCGAUAGGAAACAAGUACCAUGAGGGAAAGGUGAAAAGGACUUUGGAAAGAGAGUUAAAAGUGCCUGAAAUUGCUGAAGGGGAAGCGAAUGGAACCAGUAGUGCUGGGUGAGAUUGUCACAUGCUACAAGGAUUGGUUGCUGCCACAACGCAAGUGUGAUGGCAAUUUGUGAAUUGCUAGUGUGUGGUGUGUCUUACCUAGUGGGUCAUUGUGGGUUUAUGCAUUAAGAUAAGUCAAAGCAAGCGGGAGCAAGUUUACGAGUUUGUGAAUGUGUGUUGUUAUGCUUGUGCGUAAGCUUUAGUGUUUGUCUGGCUGCAGGGCUGUCCAUCCUCGAGCUGAGGGUUGCGAUGAGCAUAACCUUCUGCACAGAUCUUGACGAAAUGGUUUCAUUCGACCCGUCUUGAAACACGGACCAAGG